ACUAAUUUGGCAGAUUAAGUGCAUUAAAUUUAGGGUUUAAUUUAUGUUGUUUUAUCAAUAAUUAGUA
This 67-nucleotide transfer RNA is filed under the name Stheneboea repudiosa. RNAcentral describes it as "tRNA-Leu". The record is from RNAcentral. Lineage: Eukaryota; Metazoa; Arthropoda; Insecta; Phasmatodea; Lonchodidae.